This 982-nucleotide unclassified non-coding RNA is filed under the name Hevea brasiliensis (rubber tree). The record is from RNAcentral. Lineage: Eukaryota; Viridiplantae; Streptophyta; Magnoliopsida; Malpighiales; Euphorbiaceae.
UGGAAUCGGAAUAUCAACAAAAUCAAAAUUGGAAAAAGGCUCAAAGUCAUCCUUGUUUCUGCCUCUCCCAAAACCAGGAUGUAUCCGUAGUAGGGCAAAUCCAGCAGAUUUAGAUGGAGAUUUGGCCACUCCUUCUGUUUGUAGUGAGAGCUCCAUUGGUAGUGAUGAUCCUGCUGACUCAAGUCAUCGUAGUCCCCGGGCAACUGACUAUGAUCGUGGGCAUAGAACUACUGCAAACAGUACUUCCAGUGCAAUGCUCAAGGAUCACUCUACUGUCACCCAAAUAAACUCACAAGAGGCAAAAAAAUCAGCUAAUAUUUCUUUUGGUAAUCAUACAUCUCCUACAUCACCCAAACGGAGACCUCUAAGCAGUCACGUGCCAAAUCUACAGGUUCCACAUCAUGGUGCUUUUUGCAGUGCCCCAGAUAGCUCUAUGUCAAGUCCUUCUAGAAGUCCAAUGAGAGCAUUUGGCACUGAACAAGUCAUAAAUUCUGCUUUCUGGGCAGGGAAGCCUUAUACAGAUGUCAAUUUACUAGGAUCUGGCCAAUGCUCUAGUCCUGGUUCAGGUUACAAUUCUGGACAUAAUUCAAUGGGAGGAGAUAUGUCAGGACAUAUAUUCUGGCAACAAAGUAGGGGUAGCCCUGAAUGUUCUCCAAUACCUAGUCCUAGAAUGACCAGCCCUGGCCCUAGCUCAAGGGUUCAGAGUGGCGCUGUGACACCAAUUCAUCCUCGAGCAGGAGGGACGACCAUUGAAUCACAGACAAGCUGGCCUGAUGAUGGAAAACAACAAAGCCACCGGUUGCCACUUCCUCCUGUAUCAGUUUCCAGCUCAUCUCCUUUUUCUCAUUCAAAUUCAGCAGCAGCAUCUCCUUCUGUGCCACGAAGUCCUGGAAGGGCAGAGAAUCCAAUAAGCCCUGGAUCACGCUGGAAAAAGGGAAAGCUGCUGGGUAGAGACACAUUUCACCACUUUCACUGUUAAAAC